Acinonyx jubatus (cheetah) is the source of this 1261-nucleotide long non-coding RNA. RefSeq lists it as uncharacterized. NCBI's taxonomy places the organism in Eukaryota, Metazoa, Chordata, Mammalia, Carnivora, Felidae. The record is from RefSeq and is a predicted model, not a curated record. The transcript has 4 exons.
CAGAUGGCUCCUGAUAACUGGCCAUCUCUUUUCCGAGUGGCCAGAAGUGUUAUUUCGGGAGCACGACACAGAGCAGACCAUCUGUCAAGGUUCUGGGGGAAGCUUCAGUUGGUCAUACGUGGCAAAGGCAGCCAAUGAGGCAGAACUCGAGCACGGCCGUGGACGUGCCAGAGGUCGCCGAACCCCCCCGUGCUGACCGCAAGGGAAGGGCUCCGAGCUCCAGGGAUCACGGACACUCUGAGGGAAGGGGCUGAGGGCUGCUGGGGUGUCUGCUGGGCCUCUGCCAGGCCUCCGUUGUCCCCGUAUCUUGGAAACUGGGAAACGUGUUGCUUUGCUGUCUAUUUUUGGUACCAGAGGACUGUGGCCUUUCCCGAACAAGCGUGUCUCUCGUGUUAACAGUGUGCGAGCAGACGUGCCCUGGGAAGGCUGGUUCAAGGCUAACGGGGCAAGAAUUACAACACACAGUGAGUAACUGUAAUUUCCCAGAGGAAAAGCGAAGCCUGCAGAUCUUCUCAAACCUUUAUCCCAAGCGUGAAGUUUUGUUUUCAAUGCUUGAAAGGCCAGAGUUGUCUUCGUAAACAGAGACUGGGCCUCAGCAGGCCAGAGCAGGGGGACGUCUGAUCUCGGCCAUCACUGGCCAGGCCCUGACGGGCUCUGGCAUUCACCUGCUCUCGUCUCCAACACGUCCCUCGCCCCGGAAAGUUCAGCGUGUGCUUCAUAUGUCUUGCAAAGCAACAGCGAUGGACACUGCUUCCCCUUGUGGGCCUGUGUGGGGUGCCACGGCUCCCGGAGACUAUAACCAACUAGAUAGAUCUUCGACGGCGGUCUCUCGUUCCCGUACCUAAAUGCUAACAAAACCUGUUAAACCAUGGUCAUCUGCGACUACUUCUGAGAUGUUCCAGCCUCUUCUUGUACUUGCCUUGCCCCAGCUCCAGAAUUGACCGUUUCUCCCAGGAGUCCUGUAUCUUUUGAGAGGAUGAUUGUAUUGAGAAGUCAAGCCCCAGGCACUGGAUGUGUUCAUUUCCAUGGGGGAGUUGCUGCUCCUGGCCUUCUUGGGGAGCAGAAGGAGGAAGCAUCGGUCUCUCUCCUUGGACAAAAGAUGGUCGCCUUCUCCUGUGUCCUCCCACGGACUUCCCUCUGUGCAUGUCUGUGUCCUGAUCUCCUCUUCUUGAAAAGACACAUCAGAUGAGGGCCCACACAUCUGCCUUCGUUUUCACUUAAAUACGUCUUUGAAGACCCUAUCUCCAAAUAUGGUCACACU